AGGCCUAACACAUGCAAGUCGAACGGUAGCACAGAGAGCUUGCUCUCGGGUGACGAGUGGCGGACGGGUGAUUAAUGUCUGGGAAACUGCCUGAUGGAGGGGGAUAACUACUGGAAACGGUAGCUAAUACCGCAUAACGUCGCAAGACCAAAGAGGGGGACCUUCGGGCCUCUUGCCAUCAGAUGUGCCCAGAUGGGAUUAGCUAGUAGGUGGGGUAACGGCUCACCUAGGCGACGAUCCCUAGCUGGUCUGAGAGGAUGACCAGCCACACUGGAACUGAGACACGGUCCAGACUCCUACGGGAGGCAGCAGUGGGGAAUAUUGCACAAUGGGCGCCAGCCUGAUG
This 346-nucleotide ribosomal RNA is filed under the name uncultured Pantoea sp. Its description in RNAcentral is "bacterial SSU rRNA". It matches the Rfam family "Bacterial small subunit ribosomal RNA", at positions 46 to 388 of the family's 1533-position model. The record is from RNAcentral. Lineage: Bacteria; Pseudomonadati; Pseudomonadota; Gammaproteobacteria; Enterobacterales; Erwiniaceae.